GGAGUUGUGGCUCAGUGGUAGAGCACUUGCCUAGCACACAUGAGACACUAGGUUAAAUCCUCAGCACCA
Ictidomys tridecemlineatus (thirteen-lined ground squirrel) is the source of this 69-nucleotide non-coding RNA. The record is from Rfam. Lineage: Eukaryota; Metazoa; Chordata; Mammalia; Rodentia; Sciuridae.